Molecule: ribosomal RNA, 452 nt
Filed under: uncultured bacterium
Lineage: Bacteria
Description: bacterial SSU rRNA
Rfam family: Bacterial small subunit ribosomal RNA
Source: RNAcentral
ACUCCUACGGGAGGCAGCAGUGGGGAAUAUUGGACAAUGGGCGAAAGCCUGAUCCAGCCAUGCCGCGUGUGUGAAGAAGGUCUUCGGAUUGUAAAGCACUUUAAGUUGGGAGGAAGGGCAGUUACCUAAUACGUAAUUGUUUUGACGUUACCGACAGAAUAAGCACCGGCUAACUCUGUGCCAGCAGCCGCGGUAAUACAGAGGGGUGCAAGCGUUAAUCGGAAUUACUGGGGCGUAAAGCGCGCGUAGGUGGUUUGUUAAGUUGGAUGUGAAAUCCCCGGGGCUCAACCUGGGGAACUGCAUUCAAAACUGACUGACUAGAGUAUGGUAGAGGGUGGUGGAAUUUCCUGUGUAGCGGUGAAAUGCGUAGAUAUAGGAAGGAACACCAGUGGCGAAGGCGACCACCUGGGACUAAUACUGACACUGAGGUGCGAAAGCGUGGGGAGCAAACA